RNAcentral lists this ribosomal RNA (435 nucleotides) under uncultured bacterium. RNAcentral's name for it is "partial 16S ribosomal RNA". It matches the Rfam family "Bacterial small subunit ribosomal RNA", at positions 29 to 507 of the family's 1533-position model. The record is from RNAcentral.
AACGAACGCUGGCGGCAUGCCUAACACAUGCAAGUCGAACGAGGCCCUUCGGGGUUUCGUGGCGCACGGGUGCGUAACGCGUGGGAAUCUGCCCUUUGGUUCGGAAUAACAGCUGGAAACGGCUGCUAAUACCGGAUGAUGACGAGAGUCCAAAGAUUUAUCGCCAGAGGAUGAGCCCGCGUUGGAUUAGGUAGUUGGUGGGGUAAAGGCCUACCAAGCCGACGAUCCAUAGCUGGUCUGAGAGGAUGAUCAGCCACACUGGGACUGAGACACGGCCCAGACUCCUACGGGAGGCAGCAGUGGGGAAUAUUGGACAAUGGGCGCAAGCCUGAUCCAGCAAUGCCGCGUGAGUGAUGAAGGCCCUAGGGUUGUAAAGCUCUUUUACCCGGGAAGAUAAUGACUGUACCGGGAGAAUAAGCCCCGGCUAACUCCGUG